AGGGGAGUCGCCAAGUGGUAAGGCAUCGGAUUUUGAUUCCGACAUUCGUAGGUUCGAUCCCUACUUCCCCUGCCA
Molecule: transfer RNA, 75 nt
Filed under: Burkholderiales bacterium
Lineage: Bacteria; Pseudomonadati; Pseudomonadota; Betaproteobacteria; Burkholderiales
Description: tRNA-Gln
Rfam family: tRNA
About the family: Transfer RNA (tRNA) molecules are approximately 80 nucleotides in length.
Source: RNAcentral